AAUAUGGGGUUUACUAUCCACACCUAUACGAAGAAUUAUUUUUUCGUGAUUUUUCGUAUGGGUGUGGAUAGUAAACCCCACAUU
This 84-nucleotide small RNA is filed under the name Mytilus galloprovincialis (Mediterranean mussel). The record is from RNAcentral. Lineage: Eukaryota; Metazoa; Mollusca; Bivalvia; Mytilida; Mytilidae.